RNAcentral lists this ribosomal RNA (274 nucleotides) under uncultured Staphylococcus sp. RNAcentral describes it as "partial 16S ribosomal RNA". It matches the Rfam family "Bacterial small subunit ribosomal RNA", at positions 89 to 355 of the family's 1533-position model. The record is from RNAcentral. Lineage: Bacteria; Bacillati; Bacillota; Bacilli; Caryophanales; Staphylococcaceae.
AUGUUAGCGGCGGACGGGUGAGUAACACGUGGGUAACCUACCUAUAAGACUGGGAUAACUCCGGGAAACCGGGGCUAAUACCGGAUAAUAUUUUGAACCGCAUGGUUCAAUAGUGAAAGACGGUUUCGGCUGUCACUUAUAGAUGGACCCGCGCCGUAUUAGCUAGUUGGUAAGGUAACGGCUUACCAAGGCGACGAUACGUAGCCGACCUGAGAGGGUGAUCGGCCACACUGGAACUGAGACACGGUCCAGACUCCUACGGGAGGCAGCAGCU